RNAcentral lists this ribosomal RNA (353 nucleotides) under uncultured bacterium. RNAcentral describes it as "bacterial SSU rRNA". It matches the Rfam family "Bacterial small subunit ribosomal RNA", at positions 22 to 356 of the family's 1533-position model. The record is from RNAcentral.
GCUCAGGAUGAACGCUGGCGGCGUGCUUAACACAUGCAAGUCGAACGGAGCACCCCUGACGGAGUUUUCGGACAACGAAAGGGAAUGCUUAGUGGCGGACGGGUGAGUAACGCGUGAGUAACCUGCCUUGGAGUGGGGAAUAACAGCCGGAAACGGCUGCUAAUACCGCAUGAUGUAUCUGGAUCGCAUGGUUCUGGAUACCAAAGAUUUAUCGCUCUGAGAUGGACUCGCGUCUGAUUAGCUAGUUGGUGAGGUAACGGCUCACCAAGGCGACGAUCAGUAGCCGGACUGAGAGGUUGGCCGGCCACAUUGGGACUGAGACACGGCCCAGACUCCUACGGGAGGCAGCAGUA